GGCGCCUUGCGGAGGUCCUCCUCUGUGCGAUCGCGGAGGCACUGCCAUUGCCGGUGCAGGACGAUCUCGCGGUAUCCCAGCGGCGCGCUGGUCUUCGCUUUGAUUCUAACAGAGUGAGCGUCUGUUCCCCCGCAUGGACGUCGCGUUGUUUCUGGAUCGUAUUGGGAAUCGAAUCUGUGGCUCAAAUGGAGCUCGAUAAUGUGAACUUUGGCGUAAUGUGAUGAUUCCUGCUCCGUGCCAGGGCUCAUUACUGUUUGUGGGGGAGCAGUACGACGCGUGGAAAGUGGGCGCCGCUGUUGGUAUUUGGAAGAGCUCUCCACGUGAAUCCUUAGCGUCCCUCGUCACUGUCCCUCAGAUCUGCUGUUGGUGACUGAUACUAUGCAUUUAUGAUUUUUCUUUCGUCCGUUUCCGCGUUGGCAUGAUCGGUGAAACGGUUCGUGUAAAAAAUUAUUGAUCUCGCGUUGAGCAAUUAGACUUGCCUGAGGCUCCAUAUUUCUCGUCCGCCAUGAAUGCUUUCUUCUCCGGGUUGAUUUAGGUCAGCAGAAAACACUGUGAUCCGUGUUUUCCAUUCCGCCUUGAUAUGCCAAAAAAUAAUGGCAGCAAUGAUGUCGAUCGCUGCCCGAUUCCCUGUUCUUCCGAGGAUUAUACGUACGGUGUCACGCGGUGGUGUGAGGGUUGUCACAUAUAGGCAUUAAUCAUUAUUGUUUGGAAUGUUCAAAUGAAGAAAACUUGCUCACAGCCCUGUACACACUUCCAUUUAUUAAUAUUUCUUACUGAGAUAAGGCAAAAGAUAUUACAAAUCGAAUGAGUCAGUUUCUGUAGAACUGAAGCUCAUCAUUGCUCAAGGUUGUGGAGAGCUUCAGCAUGUGGCUGAUGGAUGUGAUCCAUAUCUUGUAGCAGACAUAAUCCUUGACCUUCAAUUUGGUUGCUCCGUGGCUUGUAGCCAUAACAAUGGAGUAUGAUGGAUAUUCUUCUGAGCUCGGUUCCUUGUCCUCCCUGUUCUGUAAGCUGUAGACAAAACCUGGAAUACAGAUUCGCGAUUCAAAUGUCAGUUUGUGUUGCCAAAAUGUUCAAGCUUUUCUAACAUCAUGAACUGGAAAAACUUGCGGCUUACUCUCUUUUCCAUUGGAAAAUGGCGUCAAAGCAUUUAUCUUCUUGACCCUGAGAACGACCUUUGCCUCCUUGUUAAGAAAGACUGAUACUAAUCUGAUCUUCCAGUUUCCUGCAGCCAAGGAGAAAUCAAGCUCCCCAUAUGGUUUUAGAAAACGGACCCUCCAGAAGAACUUUAUCUUCCUGAGAAUAUAAACACAAAUGGAAGGUUAUUUCGAUCAGCAUACCAUCUGGUGUCAUCACAUGAAGUUCAGUACCCUUGGCCAGUGAAUGGACGCACUUCUCAAAAUCAAGAUCAAAUUCCCCGGUUGAAAUG
RNAcentral lists this long non-coding RNA (1426 nucleotides) under Spirodela polyrhiza (greater duckweed). RNAcentral's name for it is "long non-coding RNA (SPOL_LNC002192)". Lineage: Eukaryota; Viridiplantae; Streptophyta; Magnoliopsida; Alismatales; Araceae. The record is from RNAcentral.